Molecule: transfer RNA, 65 nt
Filed under: Anastatus formosanus
Lineage: Eukaryota; Metazoa; Arthropoda; Insecta; Hymenoptera; Eupelmidae
Description: tRNA-Glu
Source: RNAcentral
AUUUAUAUAGUUUAAUUAAAACAUUAUAUUUUCAUUAUAAAAAAAAUAAAUUUUAUUUAUAAAUA